Molecule: ribosomal RNA, 1277 nt
Filed under: Stridulivelia strigosa
Lineage: Eukaryota; Metazoa; Arthropoda; Insecta; Hemiptera; Veliidae
Description: partial 16S ribosomal RNA
Source: RNAcentral
UUUCAAUAAUUAUUUUAUUUUUUUUCUUUUUUUGUUAUUUAAUAAAAGUAUUUUUUUUUUUAGUAUUUUAGAAUUAAUAUAAGUUUAUUAUAGUUUAUUGAUCUGUGAGGGUAAUUUUUUUUGUUAAAAAAGUAUUUUUUAUUUGAAGUACCUUUUGCAUCAGGGUUUAUUAAAUUAAUGGAAUUAUUUUUUUUUCUCGAAAUAUUGAGAUUUAAAAUAAAAUGUUUUUUAUUGUUAUAAAUAUAUAUAUAAUUUUAUUUUAGAGGUUAAAUGCUUUUCAAUCAAUAUGAUAUCUAGUUUAUUAAUAAAUGAAUUUAAUUCAUUUUUAAAUUUGGAUUUAUUAUAAUUUUAUUUAUAAUAAUUUAUUUAAGUUAAACUUUUUGGGGAUAAGCUUGAUUAGUUUUUUAAAAAUUUUGUUUUUAAAAAUUUUUUAUAGGAUUAAUAAUUUUCAUUUUUAUUUUGUUAUAAUUAUUUUUUUUUAAUUAAGAUUUUUAUUUUUUUAAUUUUUUAUUAAUAUUUUUUAAAAAAUUUUUUAUUUAAUUAAUAAUGAUAAAAUUAGUAAUUUUUUUAAUUUAAUUAUAGGAAUUCGGCAAAUUUAAUUUUCACCUGUUUAACAAAAACAUGGUUUUUUGAUUUUUAUAUAAAAUUAGGCCUGCCCACUGAUUUUUAUGAAUUUAAAGGCUGCGGUAUUUUAACUGUACGAAGGUAGCAUAAUCACUUGCCUUUUAAUUGGAGGCUGGAAUGAAUGGUUCAAUGAAAAAUUAACUUUCUUUAAUUAAUUAAUUUGAAUUUAAUUUUUUAGUUAAAAGGCUUAAAUUUUUUUAUAGGACGAGAAGACCCUAUAGAAAUUUAUUUUUUUUAUAAAUUUUUAUUUUUGGUUUUUAUAAAUAUUAAUUUAGAAUGGAAAAUUUUAUUGGGGUGAUAGUAAAAUUUAUUUAACUUUUAUUUUUUAAUUUCAUUAAUUGGUGUAUUUUUGAUCUAAAAUUUUUGAUUAUAAGAAUAAUUUACCUUAGGGAUAACAGCGUAAUUUUUUCGGAGAGUUCUUAUUGAUGAAUAAAGUUUGCGACCUCGAUGUUGAAUUAAGAUAAGAUUUAGGUGUAGAAUUUUAAUUUUCUUGGUCUGUUCGACCAUUAAAUUCUUACAUGAUUUGAGUUCAGACCGGCGUGAGCCAGGUCGGUUUCUAUCCUUAAUUUUUUAUAGGUUAGUACGAAAGGACCACCUAUGACAAUUAAUAUUGUUAUUUAUUUUGAUUAUAAUUAAAAAAAAAAAAAAAAAAU